Long non-coding RNA from Ahaetulla prasina, 2493 nucleotides. RefSeq lists it as uncharacterized. Lineage: Eukaryota; Metazoa; Chordata; Lepidosauria; Squamata; Colubridae. The record is from RefSeq and is a predicted model, not a curated record. The transcript has 3 exons.
UUUAAAAAUAAUCUGGACCCUCUAAGGUACAUUAGGAAGGCUAGACCCUUUGGGGGUUGUUUCUUUAUAGCAAUAAAAGGGUUUAUGCAUCCCAAUGACACUAUGAGUUAGAUCAUUGGGAGUGAAAUAGAUAAUUAAAAUUGACAAGAGAAAUCUCAACAGUCUCAAAUAUGCUGAUCUUACUAUUCUGUUGUCUCGAACACAGAAAAGAAGUCAUUUGUUGAAGGGAAAAGAAGGGAAAAGCUAGUAUUAAAAACGGGGGGGGGGGAACCCUUACUUUAUGGCAACAAGCAAUGAAAGCCAAAGAAGUAGGAGGAGGAAAAGCUGAAAGUUUUAUCUUCCUAGGCUUAAAAACUCCCAGGGAUGGUGACUGAAGUUAUGAAAUAGGGAAAUGUCUGCUACUUGAGAGAAAGACUUUGACAGAUAUAGACAAAAUAAUAAAGUGCAUGUGUUACACUGUCAGGGCCAUAUUUUUUUUCUCUAGCUGUAACAUAUGGCUGUAAUUGAUGGACCAAAAGGAAGUCUGAACAAAGAAAAACAAUGCCUUUGAAUUGUGGAGCUGGAAAAAGGUGUUGAAAAGAUCUUGGACCUCAAGAAAAACAAAUAAUUCAGUACCAGAUGAAGUAAAAAUAGAUUCUUCAUUGUAAGCACUAAUAAUGAAACUAACGUUUGGGUAUUUUGGACACACAAUGUGAAAGCAAAAGUAACUGAAGAAAACCUUAUUGCUUGGAAAAAUGGAAGACAUUCAAAACAGAGACCAACAGAAGGUAGCUAGAUGCCACACUGAUGACAUAGGCAUGAGUUUCCAAGGACUCAAGGAGAUCAUUGACAGAUAAUACAGAUGUGGCAAGUUCAUACUAUUCAAAGCAGAGGGGCUAAUCUACAGGUAACAAAGUUUUAAAUUAAGCCACCUGUAAUUCACAGAGGGCCUGAUGCCGAGAAAUAUUGAUUGAGAGAGGAGUCACUGGAGAUAAUAUCCCUACAAAAUUUACUAAUCUUAGCUGCUGCAAGAUGAAGAUUAUAGUCAUUCUGAUUUCUGGAUCAGAUAAAUACCAUGAUAUUUACUGAUGCCUGGUGUGUGGUCCUAAAGGAAGGGAUGUUUGAACUUGCACUGAUUAGAUUUUCAAAAUCCAGAUGCCCAGCUCAGACACUUCCCAAAUGGAACGAGACAGCAGGCAUCCUAAAAUGCCAUUCCUCUGCAAGACCUUCUAAAACGGGCACCAUUUCACCUCUUGUCAUCUUGGUCUUAAAUGCUCAAGCUCUCCUACCUCAGCAGUUUAUUUCAGUCAACUGAGAAGAGCAAGCAAAAACCAAGAAUCUCCCAGGCAGACAGGAUUACCAUCUGAAAAAUCUGUACUCUUAGCUUGGGAAUGUUGCAGCUCUCGAUGUACCGAUUGUUUCGUGCAUGCCUGUCAAUGCAAUUUCAUAAAUACCUUCUUAAACAUGACUUCAGGCAAACGGGUGUUUGGGUGUAGACUAAUGAAGGAAGAACCCACAUGGAAUUCUAUCCAGGAGCUCAGUUAUUUCAGGUGCAAAGGGAGGGCUGGUGUGUUGACAAGAUUUUGCUGUGGUUCUCAAAUGACGCUAGCUCUCAGUAAUAUAUUCUUGUGAGGCAUUUUGUGCAGCAUCAAGAUAACUUAUUGGGUGGGCUCAUGUGAUGAGAGAUGUUUGGCGCUGCUCUUUGUUCUCCUGGAUGCCAAAGUUUCAAAAUCUGUAGGAAGAAAAAACAAAAACAACUUGUUAUGCUGUUCAGAAUUGCUUAAAAUGGGAGGCUAUAGAAAUCUUUAAAUAAAUAAAAAUAAAUUCAUUCUUCCUUCCUUCCUUCCUUCCUUCCUUCCUUCCUUCCUUCCUUCCUUCCUUCCUUUCUUUCUUUCCUUCUUUCUUUCCUUCUUCCUUCUUUCCUUCCUUCCUUUCUUUCCUUCUUUCCUUUCUUUCUUUCCUUCCUUCCUUCUGGAUGGGAACUUUUCACAGAGAGAAGUGUAGUUUGCCACAUGCAGAGAGAGGAAAAAAUAGGCUGCUUUCUAUUGUAAUUUCUUGUUAGUUAUACAGAAAGUUGUCUAACCUGGAGUUAUUUAUUAGCCUAUUGCAGUGGUAGUCAACCUGGUCCCUACCGCCCACUAUUGGGCGUUCCAGCUUUCAUGAUGGGCGGUAGGGGUUUUGUCCGAUACUGAAGCACCCUCCUUUUUUUAAAUUUGAGUUUUUUAAAAAAAUUCUUAGCAUUAUUUAAAAACAUUUUCAUUAGGUUUUCAUAAAAUUCCCUGUGACAAUUUAAAUUUCUGAAAAUAUACUAUUUGUAUUGCCCACGCAUAAGUUUACUUCACGUUAUGUAAGUAAAACUAAAUGGUGCUAUAGUGCGACCGCAAACAAAAGAGCCUCGUCCCAGAAUAGCUCAUGCAUCUCCUCUCACACCACCCAGCUGUAACAGACAAGCAGAGCUGGUAGCCGGCACCCCUCCCCAAACCCAAUCCACGAUGCGUGAGAGGCACAUUACUG